Molecule: long non-coding RNA, 320 nt
Organism: Cucurbita moschata (crookneck pumpkin)
Lineage: Eukaryota; Viridiplantae; Streptophyta; Magnoliopsida; Cucurbitales; Cucurbitaceae
Exons: 2
Source: RefSeq, a predicted model, not a curated record
GGCUUAGACACUAACCUUCGUAUGCCCGAACAUUUCUAUAUUUUCUAUACAAUUGGGUUGCAUAUUUUGGUAUUUACAUGUCUUUACAUAAUGUCAGCUCUGAACCAUCUAAGUAAUGGUCCUGAUGAAUUUCUUGCUGGAGAUAAACAUCUAAACCUCUCUCAUGCACUUUAAUCUCCUUGAAUUUUGAUCUCAUCAGGAAUACAGAAGAAAUUUUCAUUACAGAACGAACAUGAAGAGUUCAAAAGUACUGUACUGUAUAAAUAGGACACAAUUGAAUGUAGCAGUGGCUUUUCGAGUUCUGUCUGCUUGUUUUAAGU